ACAAUGGAGUUUUUAGACUCCACAAGUAGAAUCAAGAGGUUAACA
Molecule: non-coding RNA, 45 nt
Organism: Gossypium hirsutum (cotton)
Lineage: Eukaryota; Viridiplantae; Streptophyta; Magnoliopsida; Malvales; Malvaceae
Source: Rfam